Molecule: ribosomal RNA, 843 nt
Filed under: Bacillus altitudinis
Lineage: Bacteria; Bacillati; Bacillota; Bacilli; Caryophanales; Bacillaceae
Description: partial 16S ribosomal RNA
Rfam family: Bacterial small subunit ribosomal RNA
Source: RNAcentral
UCUGAUGUGAAAGCCCCCGGCUCAACCGGGGAGGGUCAUUGGAAACUGGGAAACUUGAGUGCAGAAGAGGAGAGUGGAAUUCCACGUGUAGCGGUGAAAUGYGUAGAGAUGUGGAGGAACACCAGUGGYGAAGGYGACUCUCUGGUCUGUAACUGACGCUGAGGAGCGAAAGCGUGGGGAGCGAACAGGAUUAGAUACCCUGGUAGUCCACGCYGUAAACGAUGAGUGCUAAGUGUUAGGGGGUUUCCGCCCYUUAGYGCUGCAGCUAACGCAUUAAGCACUCCGCYUGGGGAGURCGGUCGCAAGACUGAAAYUCAAAGGAAUUGACGGGGGCCCGCACAAGCGGUGGAGCAUGUKGUUUAAUUCGAAGCAACGCGAAGAACCUUACCAGGUCUUGACAUCCUCUGACAACCCUAGAGAUAGGGCUUUCCCUUCGGGGACAGAGUGACAGGUGGUGCAUGGUUGUYGUCAGCUCGUGUCGUGAGAUGKUGGGUUAAGUCCCGCAMCGAGCGCAACCCUUGAUCUUAGUUGCCAGCAUUCAGUUGGGCACUYUAAGGUGACUGCCGGUGACAAACCGGAGGAAGGUGGGGAUGACGUCAAAUCAUCAUGCCCCUUAUGACCUGGGCUACACACGUGYUACAAUGGACAGAACAAAGGGCUGCGAGACCGCAAGGUUUAGCCAAUCCCACAAAUCUGUUCUCAGUUCGGAUYGCAGUCUGCAACUCGACUGCGUGAAGCUGGAAUCGCUAGUAAUCGCGGAUCAGCAUGCCGCGGUGAAUACGUUCCCGGGCCUUGUACACACCGCCCGUCACACCWCGAGAGUUUGCAACACCCGAMGUCGGU